UACGUAGGGUGCGAGCGUUAAUCGGAAUUACUGGGCGUAAAGUGUGCGCAGGCGGCCGAGCAAGUCGAGUGUGAAAGCCCCGGGCUUAACCUGGGAACUGCGCUCGAAACUACUUGGCUUGAGUGUGGCAGAGGGAGGUGGAAUUCCACGUGUAGCGGUGAAAUGCGUAGAGAUGUGGAGGAACACCGAUGGCGAAGGCAGCCUCCUGGGCCAACACUGACGCUGAGAAGCGAAAGCAUGGGGAGCGAACAGG
This 253-nucleotide ribosomal RNA is filed under the name uncultured bacterium. RNAcentral describes it as "partial 16S ribosomal RNA". It matches the Rfam family "Bacterial small subunit ribosomal RNA", at positions 524 to 776 of the family's 1533-position model. The record is from RNAcentral.